CACCCGGUUACAUUCCGAACCCGGAAGUUAAGCUCUUCAGCGCCGAUGGUACUGCACCGGGGACGGUGUGGGAGAGUAGGUCGCCGCCGGAC
RNAcentral lists this ribosomal RNA (92 nucleotides) under Streptosporangium canum. Lineage: Bacteria; Bacillati; Actinomycetota; Actinomycetes; Streptosporangiales; Streptosporangiaceae. RNAcentral also lists the same sequence under 7 other names. The record is from RNAcentral.